CCAGCAGUGCGGGNUGCUAUACAUGCAGUAGAACGCUGAAGAGAGGAGCUUGCUCUUCUUGGAUGAGUUGCGAACGGGUGAGUAACGCGUAGGUAACCUGCCUUGUAGCGGGGGAUAACUAUUGGAAACGAUAGCUAAUACCGCAUAACAAUGGAUGACACAUGUCAUUUAUUUGAAAGGGGCAAUUGCUCCACUACAAGAUGGACCUGCGUUGUAUUAGCUAGUAGGUGAGGUAAUGGCUCACCUAGGCGACGAUACAUAGCCGACCUGAGAGGGUGAUCGGCCACACUGGGACUGAGACACGGCCCAGACUCCUACGGGAGGCAGCAGUAGGGAAUCUUCGGCAAUGGGGGCAACCCUGACCGAGCAACGCCGCGUGAGUGAAGAAGGUUUUCGGAUCGUAAAGCUCUGUUGUAAGUCAAGAACGGGUGUGAGAGUGGAAAGUUCACACUAUGACGGUAGCUUACCAGAAAGGGACGGCUAACUACGUGCCAGCAGCCGCGGUAAUACGUAGGUCCCGAGCGUUGUCCGGAUUUAUUGGGCGUAAAGCGAGCGCAGGCGGUUUGAUAAGUCUGAAGUUAAAGGCUGUGGCUCAACCAUAGUUCGCUUUGGAAACUGUCAAACUUGAGUGCAGAAGGGGAGAGUGGAAUUCCAUGUGUAGCGGUGAAAUGCGUAGAUAUAUGGAGGAACACCGGUGGCGAAAGCGGCUCUCUGGUCUGUAACUGACGCUGAGGCUCGAAAGCGUGGGGAGCGAACAGGAUUAGAUACCCUGGUAGUCCACGCCGUAAACGAUGAGUGCUAGGUGUUGGAUCCUUUCCGGGAUUCAGUGCCGCAGCUAACGCAUUAAGCACUCCGCCUGGGGAGUACGACCGCAAGGUUGAAACUCAAAGGAAUUGACGGGGGCCCGCACAAGCGGUGGAGCAUGUGGUUUAAUUCGAAGCAACGCGAAGAACCUUACCAGGUCUUGACAUCCCGAUGCUAUUUCUAGAGAUAGAAAGUUACUUCGGUACAUCGGUGACAGGUGGUGCAUGGUUGUCGUCAGCUCGUGUCGUGAGAUGUUGGGUUAAGUCCCGCAACGAGCGCAACCCCUAUUGUUAGUUGCCAUCAUUCAGUUGGGCACUCUAGCGAGACUGCCGGUAAUAAACCGGAGGAAGGUGGGGAUGACGUCAAAUCAUCAUGCCCCUUAUGACCUGGGCUACACACGUGCUACAAUGGUUGGUACAACGAGUUGCGAGUCGGUGACGGCGAGCUAAUCUCUUAAAGCCAAUCUCAGUUCGGAUUGUAGGCUGCAACUCGCCUACAUGAAGUCGGAAUCGCUAGUAAUCGCGGAUCAGCACGCCGCGGUGAAUACGUUCCCGGGCCUUGUACACACCGCCCGUCACACCACGAGAGUUUGUAACACCCGAAGUCGGUGAGGUAACCUUUGGAGCCAGCCGCCUAAGGUGACAGAUGAUGGG
Molecule: ribosomal RNA, 1457 nt
Filed under: Streptococcus thermophilus
Lineage: Bacteria; Bacillati; Bacillota; Bacilli; Lactobacillales; Streptococcaceae
Description: bacterial SSU rRNA
Rfam family: Bacterial small subunit ribosomal RNA
Source: RNAcentral